UUUAAAAGCGGACGAAGUAGGUUAU
RNAcentral lists this non-coding RNA (25 nucleotides) under Drosophila erecta. Lineage: Eukaryota; Metazoa; Arthropoda; Insecta; Diptera; Drosophilidae. The record is from RNAcentral. RNAcentral also lists the same sequence under 1 other name.